RNAcentral lists this ribosomal RNA (512 nucleotides) under uncultured bacterium. RNAcentral describes it as "bacterial SSU rRNA". It matches the Rfam family "Bacterial small subunit ribosomal RNA", at positions 28 to 528 of the family's 1533-position model. The record is from RNAcentral.
GAUGAACGCUAGCGAUAGGCCUAACACAUGCAAGUCGAGGGGCAUCACAUGAAGUAGCAAUACGGAUGGUGGCGACCGGCGCACGGGUGAGUAACACGUAUGCAACCUGCCUUCAACAAGGGGAUAACCCGUUGAAAGACGGACUAAUACCCUAUAACACAGGGGUCUCGCAUGGGGAUAUUUGUUAAAGGACAACCGGUUGAAGAUGGGCAUGCGUUCCAUUAGCUAGUUGGCGGGGUAAGGGCCCACCAAGGCAACGAUGGAUAGGGGAACUGAGAGGUUUAUCCCCCACACUGGUACUGAGACACGGACCAGACUCCUACGGGAGGCAGCAGUGAGGAAUAUUGGUCAAUGGACGCAAGUCUGAACCAGCCACGUCGCGUGAAGGAAGACGGCCCUACGGGUUGUAAACUUCUUUUGCAAGGGAAUAAAGUGGGCCACGUGUGGCCUUUUGCAAGUACCUUGCGAAUAAGGAUCGGCUAACUCCGUGCCAGCAGCCGCGGUAAUUACGC